This is a long non-coding RNA of Oryza brachyantha (malo sina), 864 nucleotides long. RefSeq lists it as uncharacterized. The transcript is spliced from 3 exons. The record is from RefSeq and is a predicted model, not a curated record. NCBI's taxonomy places the organism in Eukaryota, Viridiplantae, Streptophyta, Magnoliopsida, Poales, Poaceae.
GCAAGUUCCAUUGGUAAAAAAAUAAUCAGAUGUGGUUUUUGCUAAAAUUAUUUAAGUAGUUAGCUCUGUUCAAAACAUGUCAUGGACAGGAUUAGAAAUCUUCAUUUAUGCACUGCCCUUGUUUUACCGAGGUUGGGAUGACCCAAGACUCUGAUGGUUAAUUUUGUGAUGUAAUAAAUGCAUAUCUGGAGCCAAAAUGUCACUCGCCUGAUUCGGAAGUUGUGCAGAGGUAAAAAAGUUCGUGGAAAACUACUUCACUAUAUGGUUUAUUUAUCUCAGAUAGCCUGGUUCCCAAUGGUUGAAAUGAUGCUUUGUUUUCAGUAUGUGCUCGCCUUUUUUUUUUGUCUUGUCUGUUUUGGGUGAUUCAUGGGGAAAUGAUAAUAGACAGUUACUAAAUGGUUUUGUGCCGAUGAUUUAUUUCUUGUAUCUCCUUAGGGUACGUGGACAUCAUCCUUUUUUUUGCCCACAACUUCAACAAGUAUGUGACGAAUAUUUUGAUUGGAGCCUAGAGAAAACUGAUCAAUACAUACUUCCCAAGAUUGCUGAGAGAACUUCGAAGACCUUCUCUACGUCGUCAGCAGUAGGAAUAAAGCCCUUAUUGAGUGAGUUUUCUUGAGGAGCUUGUGGAGGUAUAGAUGAUUGAGGGAGUGGCACGCGGUGUUGACGGCUUCAGCCCAAAAGACAUUCGAAGUCUUGUACUAAUCAAGCAUUGUCCGAGGCAUCUCAAUGAGUCUGGUUCUUCCUGUCCACAAUCCCAUUUUGAAGGGGAUCAAAUGGAAUAGUUUAAUUCAAUGUGAUGUACAAUUAACCAUAAACUUGUGAUGUACAUUUGAGCACAAUACAAGUUGUCCUUGUUUUUAUAUU